This 500-nucleotide ribosomal RNA is filed under the name uncultured bacterium. RNAcentral's name for it is "partial 16S ribosomal RNA". It matches the Rfam family "Bacterial small subunit ribosomal RNA", at positions 28 to 507 of the family's 1533-position model. The record is from RNAcentral.
GACGAACGCUGGCGGCGUGCCUAAUACAUGCAAGUCGAGCGGACUGAUUAAGAGCUUGCUCUUAUGACGUUAGCGGCGGACGGGUGAGUAACACGUGGGCAACCUGCCCUGUAGAUCGGGAUAACACCGAGAAAUCGGUGCUAAUACCGGGUAAUAUCUGAGAUCACAUGAUCUUAGGUUAAAAGAUGGCUCCGGCUAUCACUACAGGAUGGGCCCGCGGCGCAUUAGCUAGUUGGUAAGGUAAUGGCUUACCAAGGCGACGAUGCGUAGCCGACCUGGGAGGGUGAUCGGCCACACUGGGACUGAGACACGGCCCAGACUCCUACGGGAGGCAGCAGUAGGGAAUCUUCCGCAAUGGACGAAAGUCUGACGGAGCAACGCCGCGUGAGUGAUGAAGGGGUUCGGCUCGUAAAGCUCUGUUGUUAGGGAAGAAACAGUACCGAACGAACUAGGUCGGUACCUUGACGGUACCUAACCAGAAAGCCACGGCUAACUACGUG